UACGAAGGGUGCAAACGUUGCUCGGAAUCAUUGGGCGUAAAGCGCACGUAGGCGGCUUUGCAAGUCGGGUGUGAAAUCCCCAGGCCUAACCUGGGAACUGCAUUCGAGACUGCAUGGCUAGAGUAUCGGAGAGGGAAGUGGAAUUUCAGGUGUAGCGGUGAAAUGCGUAGAUAUCUGAAGGAACAUCAGCGGCGAAAGCGACUUCCUGGACGAAUACUGACGCUCAUGUGCGAAAGCGUGGGGAGCAAACAGG
RNAcentral lists this ribosomal RNA (253 nucleotides) under uncultured bacterium. RNAcentral's name for it is "partial 16S ribosomal RNA". It matches the Rfam family "Bacterial small subunit ribosomal RNA", at positions 524 to 776 of the family's 1533-position model. The record is from RNAcentral.